GCUUGCUUAAAGGGGCCGUAGCUCGAUAUGCAAGUCCCUUGAGAAAUCCGCCAGCUUAACUGGCGGGCGUUCAGGGGAGACUGCAUUUCUAGGGACCGGGAGAGGUGAGAGGUACUGCCGGGGUAGGAGUGAAAUCCUGUAAUCCCGGUGGGACCACCUAUGGCGAAGGCAUCUCACCAGAACGGGUCCGACAGUGAGGGACGAAAGCUGGGGGAGCAAACCGGAUUAGAUACCCGGGUAGUCCCAGCUGUAAACGAUGCGCGUUAGGUGUGUCAGUGACCACGUGUCACUGAGGUGCCGAAGGGAAACCGUGAAACGCGCCGCCUGGGGAGUACGGUCGCAAGGUUGAAACUUAAAGGAAUUGGCGGGGGAGCACCACAACGGGUGGAGCCUGCGGUUUAAUCGGACUCAACGCCGGAAAUCUCACCGGAUAAGACAGCUGAAUGAUAGUCGGGAUGAAGACUCUACUUGACUAGCUGAGAGGAGGUGCAUGGCCGUCGUCAGUUCGUACUGUGAAGCAUCCUGUUUAGUCAGGCAACGAGCGAGACCCACGCCAACAGUUGCCAGCUUGACCUUCGGGUUGAUGGGGGCACUGUUGGGACCGCCUCUGCUAAAGGGGAGGAAGGAAUGGGCAACGGUAGGUCCGCAUGCCCCGAAAAGCC
Molecule: ribosomal RNA, 662 nt
Filed under: uncultured archaeon
Lineage: Archaea
Description: bacterial SSU rRNA
Rfam family: Archaeal small subunit ribosomal RNA
Source: RNAcentral